AGGGAAUCUUCCGCAAUGGACGAAAGUCUGACGGAGCAACGCCGCGUGAGUGAAGAAGGCCUUCGGGUCGUAAAGCUCUGUUGCCGGGGAAGAACAAGUGCCGUUCGAACAGGGCGGUGCCUUGACGGUACCCGGCCAGAAAGCCACGGCUAACUACGUGCCAGCAGCCGCGGUAAUACGUAGGUGGCAAGCGUUGUCCGGAAUUAUUGGGCGUAAAGCGCGCGCAGGCAGCUUCUUAAGUCUGAUGUGAAAUCUUGCAGCCCAACCGCAAGCGGUCAUUGGAAACUGGGAGGCUUGAGUGCAGAAGAGGAGAGUGGAAUUCCACGUGUAGCGGUGAAAUGCGUAGAGAUGUGGAGGAACACCAGUGGCGAAGGCGGCUCUCUGGUCUGUAACUGACGCUGAGGCGCGAAAGCGUGGGGAGCAAAC
RNAcentral lists this ribosomal RNA (426 nucleotides) under uncultured bacterium. Its description in RNAcentral is "bacterial SSU rRNA". It matches the Rfam family "Bacterial small subunit ribosomal RNA", at positions 356 to 773 of the family's 1533-position model. The record is from RNAcentral.